Molecule: long non-coding RNA, 340 nt
Filed under: Felis catus (domestic cat)
Lineage: Eukaryota; Metazoa; Chordata; Mammalia; Carnivora; Felidae
Description: lncRNA (ENSFCAG00000043758.2)
Source: RNAcentral
GCCAUGGUGACUACCCUCAUAAGUCUCUGAGACAACGUGACUGAGUUCUUCGGUGGUUCCUGUGGCCUUGGAGAGAAAAUCUGAAGAGCUUCAAUAUUCUGACCAUCGAUUCCUGAAACAAGGCUCUAUGUGACAGAACUCUCAUUUCCACUGACUUUCCAAACCACCCUACUCUCUGGCACAAUAUCUGCGUCCAUAAAGAUUCACCUAGGGCUGCCCAUCCCCUAAAAUGAUACUGUCUCGUUGUUUCUGCUUGGGGAUCUGCUCCUGACUGCCUUAACCUCCAAGGCCAGCUGCCUCGAGAUAUAGCAUCACAUUUCCCCAUGGACCUUACUUCCCC